RNAcentral lists this transfer RNA (72 nucleotides) under Rhizophagus irregularis DAOM 181602=DAOM 197198. Its description in RNAcentral is "tRNA-Sup (TTA) (tRNA-Sup-TTA-2-1, tRNA-Sup-TTA-2-2)". It matches the Rfam family "tRNA". Rfam says of the family: Transfer RNA (tRNA) molecules are approximately 80 nucleotides in length. Their secondary structure includes four short double-helical elements and three loops (D, anti-codon, and T loops). Further hydrogen bonds mediate the characteristic L-shaped molecular structure. tRNAs have two regions of fundamental functional importance: the anti-codon, which is responsible for specific mRNA codon recognition, and the 3' end, to which the tRNAs corresponding amino acid is attached (by aminoacyl-tRNA synthetases). tRNAs cope with the degeneracy of the genetic code in two manners: having more than one tRNA (with a specific anti-codon) for a particular amino acid; and 'wobble' base-pairing, i.e. permitting non-standard base-pairing at the 3rd anti-codon position. The record is from RNAcentral. Lineage: Eukaryota; Fungi; Glomeromycota; Glomeromycetes; Glomerales; Glomeraceae.
GCCCGGUUAGUUCAGUCGUUAGAAUAUCACAUAUUAAUCGUGAAGACGCGGGUUCAACUCCUGCACUGGGCU